Molecule: long non-coding RNA, 1144 nt
Organism: Manis javanica (Malayan pangolin)
Lineage: Eukaryota; Metazoa; Chordata; Mammalia; Pholidota; Manidae
Source: RefSeq, a predicted model, not a curated record
CUUCCUGGAUCCAUGGCCACGAGGACUCCACUCUCCUGGGUCACACACAAUCUGCUUGUGGCUCAUUAAACCAACAGACCAUCCUGACCACAGCUCCAGUACACGAGAAACAGACCUGCAUAAGUUUGAUCUCUUUGAUCUCAAGCAAUCUACAGUCACAUGGGUUAAAAAAAAGAUAGGAAACUGCCCCACAACAAAACCUUGAAAAAUACUGUAGAAUUGGUGGAGUUUCAAAAGCAGGAUGAAAGGAAAGAGGUCAUUAAUUAAUAAGCAAAGGAAAAAAAAUCCAGAACAGAAGGAUUACAGAACAAAGAAAGACAUGGCUCCUUCCAGCAGGCACAGUCUUGAGAGCUCUGUUCCCCAGCGCAUUCCACAAAGCCAGAAGGCUCUCAGUACAUCACUCAAUUGAAUGAAUGUUUCUAGGAAAGACAUCAUAUAAAGACUGAACCUAUUGUUUCCACUCCCACGAUUGUAAAACUGAACUGAGAUGGAAUGAUGUCCCUAGAGGACGUGGAUACCUGGAGCUUACCUCUACAAAAGCAUCUACAAAUGAACUGUAUUUACAUUUCUGUGGCUUUUUCUUUGGUUUCUAGACCCUCUGUGAUGAUGGCAUUGGAGGGUGUGGCUUUGCACAUCAAAGAAUGCAGCAUUCUCACUCAGUGUGCCCUUGAGAAGCAGCUCUCUGCCCCUUUCAGCUCCAAAUGUCUGGGAGAGGAGGCUUGCUAGCUGCUGAGAGUCCCAAAACUUCUUGCUAGCUGUGCACAGCUUGCACACAGACCCUCUCAAUCAGACCUGGCCUCACAGCUCUGCACCAUGCACAAUGAGACCAAGGCAAACACAGUCUUGGUAAAAAGAAGUCCAGUGCAAUGUAACCACCAAGGAUGAAUCCCAAGCUAGACUGCAGCUUUCUUCAUGUGCAAAGUUCACACCUAGACCCCAACAGUAUCCUCUCUAGUGUUGUCAGUACAGUAACCAUUAGUCACAUGUACCUACUGAGCACCUGAAGUGUGACUAAUCUGGUUUGACAUGUGUUAAGUGUAAAAUACACACUGGAAUUUUGAAGACUUCACAUGAGACAAGAAUGUAAAAUAUCUGGAUUGUUUUUUAUAUGGAUUAUAUGCUGACAUGACAAUAGUUUGUAUAG